UACGUAGGGGGCAAGCGUUGUCCGGAAUCAUUGGGCGUAAAGAGCGUGUAGGCGGCCCGAUAAGUCCGCUGUGAAAGUCCAGGGCUCAACCCUGGGAUGCCGGUGGAUACUGUCGGGCUCGAGUCCGGAAGAGGAGUGUGGAAUUCCUGGUGUAGCGGUGAAAUGCGUAGAGAUCGGGAAGAACAUCGGUGGCGAAAGCGCUCUACUGGGCCAUAACUGACACUCAGGGACGAAAGCUAGGGGAGCGAAUGGG
RNAcentral lists this ribosomal RNA (253 nucleotides) under uncultured bacterium. RNAcentral's name for it is "partial 16S ribosomal RNA". It matches the Rfam family "Bacterial small subunit ribosomal RNA", at positions 524 to 776 of the family's 1533-position model. The record is from RNAcentral.